UGUAUCCCUUUGAUUUGCUUACCACUACUAUACAUAGGCUGCCGGCGGAGGCCGGAUCGGAGGCGGUGAUUGAGGACCGGAUCGGAUCGGAAAAGGAACACAUCACCGAUCCAUCUGGAUACUCCGACUCCGAUCCUUGUAGCAGCAGGCGACUCCGAUUCCUGGUCGUCGUCUACUCGAUUCGAUUCCGAACCGAGUGCUGAUCGACGGGAGCUCUCCUAGGCUAGGAUGAUGUUCCCACGGAGUCAGAGUCCUCACAAUCCAUCUUCU
This 270-nucleotide long non-coding RNA is filed under the name Setaria italica (foxtail millet). RNAcentral's name for it is "long non-coding RNA (SITA_LNC000543)". Lineage: Eukaryota; Viridiplantae; Streptophyta; Magnoliopsida; Poales; Poaceae. The record is from RNAcentral.